CUUCUUUCUCAUGAAGCUAAGACGUCAGGAGGCCGGUUCUGCUGUCCAACCAGACAGGAAAGGGACCUGAAGGAGAAGAAAGAGAAGGUGGAGGAGAAGGCCAGCCGAAAAGAGCGAAAGAAAGAAGUGGUGGAGGUGCGGAGGGGUCAGGUGGAGGAGCCUCGGAGCUGCCCCCCACUUACCUGCGGGUGGAGGGGGCUGGGUCCUGCCCUCGCUCUGGCCCCUACCACCCUCCCUGCCUCAUCCUUCCGGCCCUCCCAGCACCCCUGCCGGUGGGGGUCCGGCCCUCCCAGCCCCCCUGCCGGUGGUGGUGGUCGAGGCACCCGGGGCCAGCCUGACACUGCUUCCUCUCCCCUCUCCGGGUCCCCACAGGAGGAGGAGAACGGAGCCGAGGAGGAAGAGGAAGAAACUGCUGAGGACGGAGAGGAGGAGGAUGAAGGGGAAGAAGAAGAUGAGGAAGAAGAAGAUGAUGACGACGAAGGGCCCGCGCUGAAGAGAGCUGCUGAAGAGGAGGUUUGGGCUGGAUUGUGGGGCCUGAGGGGCUGUCAGGGAUGCAGCAGGGGCUGGGAGCCCUUUGGACUUGCACCUGGAUCCCUGUGGUGCACGGGCGGGGGCUGGAGCAGGGCCGGGACAGGGGGAGGUCCCUCUCCCAUUUUGCAGCUAC
RNAcentral lists this long non-coding RNA (664 nucleotides) under Ursus maritimus (polar bear). RNAcentral's name for it is "lncRNA (ENSUMAG00000005044.1)". The record is from RNAcentral. Lineage: Eukaryota; Metazoa; Chordata; Mammalia; Carnivora; Ursidae.